UGGGGAAUUUUGGACAAUGGGCGAAAGCCUGAUCCAGCAAUGCCGCGUGUGUGAAGAAGGCCUUCGGGUUGUAAAGCACUUUUGUCCGGAAAGAAAUCCUUGGCUCUAAUACAGUCGGGGGAUGACGGUACCGGAAGAAUAAGCACCGGCUAACUACGUGCCAGCAGCCGCGGUAAUACGUAGGGUGCAAGCGUUAAUCGGAAUUACUGGGCGUAAAGCGUGCGCAGGCGGUUUGCUAAGACCGGUGUGAAAUCCCCGGGCUCAACCUGGGAACUGCAUUGGUGACUGGCAGGCUAGAGUAUGGCAGAGGGGGGUAGAAUUCCACGUGUAGCAGUGAAAUGCGUAGAGAUGUGGAGGAAUACCGAUGGCGAAGGCAGCCCCCUGGGCCAAUACUGACGCUCAUGCACGAAAGCGUGGGGAGCAAACAGGAUUAGAUACCCUGGUAGUCCACGCCCUAAACGAUGUCAACUAGUUGUUGGGGAUUCAUUUCCUUAGUAACGUAGCUAACGCGUGAAGUUGACCGCCUGGGGAGUACGGUCGCAAGAUUAAAACUCAAAUGAAUUGACGGGGUCAUAGCUGUUU
RNAcentral lists this ribosomal RNA (582 nucleotides) under uncultured bacterium. Its description in RNAcentral is "partial 16S ribosomal RNA". It matches the Rfam family "Bacterial small subunit ribosomal RNA", at positions 355 to 935 of the family's 1533-position model. The record is from RNAcentral.